UGGACAUAAAGUAAAGCAGAACUCGAGAGC
Molecule: non-coding RNA, 30 nt
Filed under: Rattus norvegicus (Norway rat)
Lineage: Eukaryota; Metazoa; Chordata; Mammalia; Rodentia; Muridae
Source: RNAcentral